CAGCGGGAGCAGAGGAAGCCAAGCACUUCAUCUAAUUUAAUUUUCUCUUGCCUUUUUAAUAUAUGUUACAUCAUAAAGUUUGAUGUAUCAGCUUAAAUAACAGUUGCAGGGCUGCUGAUGAAUGGGGUGGAAAGAAAUUUUAAAGGAAAGGGCCAGCUAGAAUACUGUCAUCCCGUGUGGAGAUGUCAGUGUAGAUCAGACAGACUUCCUCCCUAUUGGGGAUAAUGGCUUCCAAUCCAGAAUUUUGAUAAGUGGAGAAAGAGGAGCUGAGAGAGGCACAUCAGAUUCCCGGACUUUAACAGGCACACAUGGCUGUUAUAGAUCACUGGCUUCCCCCACCCAAAGGGAGGCUCAGUAAAGGAGUUAUGAUGUCGUCACUUGUUCAUUAUCCAUCUCAGACCACUGACAACUCCUCAAGUACACCCUGGUGCAGUCAGACUCUGCUCAUUCGCCCGUUUGGCUCCCUCCUGGAACGCUCCAUUCUCUGCUUAUCAAAGUCUUGCUUUGCCUUCAAGGACUGAGACUCCAAUCUCCUUCCUGGAAACCGUCGUCCUCUCAGAAAGCACAGCAUUUUGCUGAUGUGGUGCAGAGGACCGGCUUCACUGUGCUCUUCUCUGCCAGAAAACUGUGGUCUCUGAGAGGACAUAGACCACAUACACUAUAUUUGCUUUUAAUGAAAGAAACAUUUAAGGAUCUGAAAA
This 701-nucleotide long non-coding RNA is filed under the name Mus pahari (shrew mouse). RNAcentral describes it as "lncRNA (MGP_PahariEiJ_G0006070.1)". The record is from RNAcentral. Lineage: Eukaryota; Metazoa; Chordata; Mammalia; Rodentia; Muridae.